This 252-nucleotide ribosomal RNA is filed under the name Triticum aestivum (bread wheat). RNAcentral's name for it is "partial small subunit ribosomal RNA". Lineage: Eukaryota; Viridiplantae; Streptophyta; Magnoliopsida; Poales; Poaceae. The record is from RNAcentral.
AUGGACGACGUUCACUGCUACCUAUGUGUUAUAAAUGCCAGAAAACUAUGUGUUCAAGUGCUCGACUCGCUAGGCCCAUCAAUGAAUCGCAAGGACCUCACUGAUACGCUAGAAGGACCGGAGGAUUUAUUCAAAUAUGCAUCCGAGCACAUGGAAUUAAAAUCCAAUAAGUGGACUGAUCUAAGUGUUACAACAUGGAAAAGAGAAGAAUAUAUUAAGAGCAGUCUUCAGACGGAUGGGUACGCCUCCUAA